GACGAACGCUGGCGGCGUGCUUAACACAUGCAAGUCGAACGGAAAGGCCCUUCGGGGUCCUCGAGUGGCGAACGGGUGAGUAACACGUGGGUGAUCUGCCCUGCACUUUGGGAUAAGCCUGGGAAACUGGGUCUAAUACCGAAUAGGACCACGCGCUUCAUGGUGUGUGGUGGAAAGCUUUUGCGGUGCGGGAUGGGCCCGCGGCCUAUCAGCUUGUUGGUGGGGUAAUGGCCUACCAAGGCGACGACGGGUAGCCGGCCUGAGAGGGUGACCGGCCACACUGGGACUGAGAUACGGCCCAGACUCCUACGGGAGGCAGCAGUGGGGAAUAUUGCACAAUGGGCGCAAGCCUGAUGCAGCGACGCCGCGUGAGGGAUGACGGCCCUCGGGUUGUAAACCUCUUUCAAUAGGGACGAAGCGCAAGUGACGGUACCUAUAGAAGAAGCACCGGCCAACUACGUG
This 462-nucleotide ribosomal RNA is filed under the name uncultured bacterium. RNAcentral describes it as "partial 16S ribosomal RNA". It matches the Rfam family "Bacterial small subunit ribosomal RNA", at positions 28 to 507 of the family's 1533-position model. The record is from RNAcentral.